GACGAACGCUGGCGGCGUGCUUAACACAUGCAAGUCGUACGGUAAGGCCCUUCCGGGGGUACACGAGUGGCGAACGGGUGAGUAACACGCGAGUAACCUGCCUACCACUUUGGGAUAACGCAAGUAAACUGGCUCUAACUCUGGACAUGUGCUCCUGCCUCCUGGUGGGGGUGGGAAAGCUCCGGCGGGUGGGGAUGGAUUCGCGGCCUACUAGUUUGUUGGUGGGGUAGUGGCCUACCAACGAGGCGACGGGUAGGCGGCCCGGGGGGGUGACCGGCCACAUUGGGGCUGGGGUACGGCCCAGACUCCUACGGGAGGCAACAGGGGGGAAUAUUGCACCAUGGGCGCAAGCCUGGUGCAACAACGCCGCGUGGGGGGUGACGGGCUUCGGGUUGUAAACCGGUUUCCGCAGGGACGGAGCUUUGUGUGACGGUACCUGCAGAAGAAGCACCGGCUAACUACGUG
Molecule: ribosomal RNA, 465 nt
Filed under: uncultured bacterium
Lineage: Bacteria
Description: partial 16S ribosomal RNA
Rfam family: Bacterial small subunit ribosomal RNA
Source: RNAcentral